ACGGGUGAGUAACGCGUAGACAACCUACCUCUCAGAUGGGGACAACAUCGCGAAAGCGGUGCUAAUACCGAAUGAUGUAACUUUUCUGCAUGGAAGAGUUACCAAAGGCGGCCUCUAUUUAUAAGCUGUCACUGAGAGAUGGGUUUGCGUCUGAUUAGCUAGUUGGCGGGGUAAUGGCCCACCAAGGCGACGAUCAGUAGCCGGUCUGAGAGGAUGAACGGCCACAUUGGGACUGAGACACGGCCCAAACUCCUACGGGAGGCAGCAGUGGGGAAUCUUCCGCAAUGGACGAAAGUCUGACGGAGCAACGCCGCGUGAGUGAAGAAGGUUUUCGGAUCGUAAAGCUCUGUUGUUUGAGACGAAUGUGUAUAUUAUUAAUACGGAUAUACAAUGACGGUAUUAAACGAGAAAGCCACGGCUAACUACGUGCCAGCAGCCGCGGUAAUACGUAGGUGGCAAGCGUUGUCCGGAAUUAUUGGGCGUAAAGGGAGCGCAGGUGGGAAAGUAAGUCGAUUUUAAAAGUGCGGGGCUCAACCCCGUGAGGGAAUCGAAACUGCUUUUCUUGAGUGCAGGAGAGGAAAGUGG
This 585-nucleotide ribosomal RNA is filed under the name uncultured bacterium. Its description in RNAcentral is "bacterial SSU rRNA". It matches the Rfam family "Bacterial small subunit ribosomal RNA", at positions 102 to 664 of the family's 1533-position model. The record is from RNAcentral.